Bombus pascuorum is the source of this 374-nucleotide long non-coding RNA. RefSeq lists it as uncharacterized. The transcript is spliced from 2 exons. The record is from RefSeq and is a predicted model, not a curated record. Lineage: Eukaryota; Metazoa; Arthropoda; Insecta; Hymenoptera; Apidae.
GCUAUUAUUACGGCGCAUGCUUGAACAUCUGACGAUCAUCGAUCGAUCGUUAACGAGAAAAUCAGUGAUGUAAUAUAUCGUUCAUUUCUGUUGACUAAUUUCCUUUCUUUAUUAGGCCAUUGACAUCUAUCUCCAGCCUACCUUCAUCCUUUUUGUAAUAGGAUUAUGAAAAAUUUACCCAAUGAACAUGUUGUUGGAGAUAUUGUCCAAGUGGCCACGAUACUUCAACCAUGGACCAGCAGCUGAGAUGUGAUCCGUGGUACAUUUUCCUUUGACUUUGAUUAAGAUAGUCAUGUCAGUAAGAUCUUUGCCGUCCCAUUUGUCGAAUGGUUCUAAUAACUGUAAUCGUUCGCUGGUCGGGCUUACGUCGACCU